CCUACGGGAGGCAGCAGUGAGGAAUCUUGGACAAUGGGGGCAACCCUGAUCCAGCCAUGCCGCGUGUGUGAAGAAGGCCUUCGGGUUGUAAAGCACUUUCAGUAGGGAGGAAGGCUUAUCCUUAAUACGGAUGAGUACUUGACGUUACCUACAGAAGAAGCACCGGCUAAUUCCGUGCCAGCAGCCGCGGUAAU
Molecule: ribosomal RNA, 194 nt
Filed under: uncultured bacterium
Lineage: Bacteria
Description: partial 16S ribosomal RNA
Rfam family: Bacterial small subunit ribosomal RNA
Source: RNAcentral